Molecule: long non-coding RNA, 1456 nt
Filed under: Piliocolobus tephrosceles (Ugandan red Colobus)
Lineage: Eukaryota; Metazoa; Chordata; Mammalia; Primates; Cercopithecidae
Description: lncRNA (ENSPTEG00000002423.1)
Source: RNAcentral
UGAUACCACUGCUGGUGUUGAUUUGGAAAAUAAAAAACGUAAAUCGCGUCGCGCAAGUGUCAUAAAUAGUCACAUAAAUAGAGGCAGCUACAGCAACGAAGACAAUGACGAUGAGAUUUUGACCGAACGUUAUAAACAACAAAUAUAUUUAAAUACAGAUAUAUUAAAAGAUAUACUACAAAUUGAUAGUGAAAAUAGUAACGAAAAUUUGAAUAAUUUAAAUAUAUGUCCAGAAUUAAAUUAUUUCAAAGAAGAAGUAGAUAAAUAUAGAUUAAAAAAAAGUGAUUCUAAAAGUUAUGAUGAAAUAGAUGAUACUCAUUAUGAUUUUAAUUUGAAUGAUGGUGAAGGACAGUCACAUAUGAACAUGAAAAAAAUGGAUAAUUCAUGUGAAUAUGAAAAUAAAAAAGAUUUAAAUGUAGGUGAUAGUGGUAUGUUAUCUCUAGAUAUGAUGAAUGAAUUUGAAGAUAAUAAUCUUAAUAAUAGUAUAAUGAAAUGGUCAGAUAAGAAAACUUUGAAUAGUAGUAUGAACCAUAGUAUGAGGCAUAGUGUUAAUUAUGCAGCUAACUCUGGUAAUACAAACUUUGGGAAUAAUUUAGGUAUAGAUUACAAUCGAAUAGAUGAUUUGAAUAUAGAGAAUGUAAUGCAAGAGUCUAUGGCAUUUGAUAUGAUGAAUUUAAAUGAUUCUUUUGGAAAUAAUAUAAAUAUGUCACAAAAUACUUUUGCNNNNNNNNNNGCUAGUACUUUUGGGGAAGGUGAUACCACUGCUGGUGUUGAUUUGGAAAAUAAAAAACGUAAAUCGCGUCGCGCAAGUGUCAUAAAUAGUCACAUAAAUAGAGGCAGCUACAGCAACGAAGACAAUGACGAUGAGAUUUUGACCGAACGUUAUAAACAACAAAUAUAUUUAAAUACAGAUAUAUUAAAAGAUAUACUACAAAUUGAUAGUGAAAAUAGUAACGAAAAUUUGAAUAAUUUAAAUAUAUGUCCAGAAUUAAAUUAUUUCAAAGAAGAAGUAGAUAAAUAUAGAUUAAAAAAAAGUGAUUCUAAAAGUUAUGAUGAAAUAGAUGAUACUCAUUAUGAUUUUAAUUUGAAUGAUGGUGAAGGACAGUCACAUAUGAACAUGAAAAAAAUGGAUAAUUCAUGUGAAUAUGAAAAUAAAAAAGAUUUAAAUGUAGGUGAUAGUGGUAUGUUAUCUCUAGAUAUGAUGAAUGAAUUUGAAGAUAAUAAUCUUAAUAAUAGUAUAAUGAAAUGGUCAGAUAAGAAAACUUUGAAUAGUAGUAUGAACCAUAGUAUGAGGCAUAGUGUUAAUUAUGCAGCUAACUCUGGUAAUACAAACUUUGGGAAUAAUUUAGGUAUAGAUUACAAUCGAAUAGAUGAUUUGAAUAUAGAGAAUGUAAUGCAAGAGUCUAUGGCAUUUGAUAUGAUGAAUUUAAAUGAUUCUUUUGGAAAUAAUAUAAAU